CGAACGCUGGCGGCGCGUUUUAGCAUGCAAGUCGAACGGUAGUACAGAGCUUGCUCUGUAUGAGAGUGGCGAACGGGUGAGUAACACGUAGGUAAUCUACCUUUGGAUUGGGGAUAGCCCAUGGAAACAUGGGGUAAUACCGAAUAAAUCGUAUACCGUAGAGGUAAACGGGAAAGGCGCUUUGGCGCCGUCCGAGGAUGAGCCUGCGGCUUAUUAGUUAGUUGGUAGGGUAACGGCCUACCAAGGCGACGAUAAGUAGCCGGCCUGAGAGGGUGAACGGCCACACUGGGACUGAGACACGGCCCAGACUCCUACGGGAGGCAGCAGCUAAGAAUCUUCCGCAAUGGACGCAAGUCUGACGGAGCGACGCCGCGUGGGUGAAGAAGGCCGAAAGGUUGUAAAGCCCUUUUCUUGCUGAAGAAUAAGGGCAGGAGGGAAUGCCUGUCCGAUGACGUUAGGUGAGGAAUAAGCCCCGGCCAAUUACGUGCCAGCAGCCGCGGUAACACGUAUGGGGCGAGCGUUGUUCGGAAUCAUUGGGCGUAAAGGGCGCGCAGGCGGUUAAAUAAGCCUGGUGUGAAAGGCUACGGCUCAACUGUAGUUUCGCGCUGGGAACUGUUUGACUAGAGUUCUGGAGGGGAAGCUGGAAUUCCUGGUGUAGGGGUGAAAUCUGUAGAUAUCAGGAAGAACACCGGUGGCGAAGGCGAGCUUCUAGCCAAGAACUGACGCUGAGGCGCGAAAGCGUGGGGAGCGAACAGGAUUAGAUACCCUGGUAGUCCACGCUGUAAACGAUGUGCACUGGGUGUUGGCCCUUGAGGGUCAGUGCCGAAACUAACGCGAUAAGUGCACCGCCUGGGGAGUAUGCUCGCAAGGGUGAAACUCAAAGGAAUUGACGGGGGCCCGCACAAGCGGUGGAGCAUGUGGUUUAAUUCGAUGAUACGCGAGAAACCUUACCAGGGCUUGACAUAUACCAGACGUCACGAGAGAUCGUGAUUCCCUUCGGGGCUGGUAUA
This 1010-nucleotide ribosomal RNA is filed under the name uncultured organism. RNAcentral describes it as "bacterial SSU rRNA". It matches the Rfam family "Bacterial small subunit ribosomal RNA", at positions 30 to 1034 of the family's 1533-position model. The record is from RNAcentral.